Molecule: ribosomal RNA, 674 nt
Filed under: Alkalihalophilus lindianensis
Lineage: Bacteria; Bacillati; Bacillota; Bacilli; Caryophanales; Bacillaceae
Description: bacterial SSU rRNA
Rfam family: Bacterial small subunit ribosomal RNA
Source: RNAcentral
GACGAACGCUGGCGGCGUGCCUAAUACAUGCAAGUCGAGCGGACUGAUGGGAGCUUGCUCCCUGAUGUUAGCGGCGGACGGGUGAGUAACACGUGGGCAACCUACCUGUAAGACUGGGAUAACUCCGGGAAACCGGGGCUAAUACCGGAUAACCCGUUCCUCCUCAUGGAGGGACGGUAAAAGAUGGCUUCUUGCUAUCACUUACAGAUGGGCCCGCGGCGCAUUAGCUAGUUGGUAAGGUAAUGGCUUACCAAGGCGACGAUGCGUAGCCGACCUGAGAGGGUGAUCGGCCACACUGGGACUGAGACACGGCCCAGACUCCUACGGGAGGCAGCAGUAGGGAAUCUUCCGCAAUGGACGAAAGUCUGACGGAGCAACGCCGCGUGAGUGAUGAAGGUUUUCGGAUCGUAAAGCUCUGUUGUUAGGGAAGAACAAGUGCCGUUCAAAUAGGGCGGCACCUUGACGGUACCUAACCAGAAAGCCACGGCUAACUACGUGCCAGCAGCCGCGGUAAUACGUAGGUGGCAAGCGUUGUCCGGAAUUAUUGGGCGUAAAGCGCGCGCAGGCGGUCUUUUAAGUCUGAUGUGAAAGCCCACGGCUCAACCGUGGAGGGUCAUUGGAAACUGGGAGACUUGAGUACAGAAGAGGAGAGUGGAAUUCCACGUGUAGCGGUG